Molecule: ribosomal RNA, 253 nt
Filed under: uncultured bacterium
Lineage: Bacteria
Description: partial 16S ribosomal RNA
Rfam family: Bacterial small subunit ribosomal RNA
Source: RNAcentral
UACGGGGGGGGCAAGCGUUGUUCGGAAUUACUGGGCGUAAAGGGCUCGUAGGUGGCCAACUAAGUCAGACGUGAAAUCCCUCGGCUUAACCGGGGAACUGCGUCUGAUACUGGAUGGCUUGAGGUUGGGAGAGGGAUGCGGAAUUCCAGGUGUAGCGGUGAAAUGCGUAGAUAUCCGGAGGAACACCGGUGGCGAAGGCGGCUUCCUGGACCGAUACUGACGCUGAGGCGCGAAAGCUAGGGGAGCAAACGGG